GCUCCUGUGGCGGAAUUGGAAGACGCGGCAGACUUAAAAUCUGUUUUUCAGUUGUGGGUUCGACCCCCACCAGGAGUACCA
RNAcentral lists this transfer RNA (81 nucleotides) under Lusitaniella coriacea LEGE 07157. RNAcentral's name for it is "tRNA-Leu". It matches the Rfam family "tRNA". From Rfam's summary of the family: Transfer RNA (tRNA) molecules are approximately 80 nucleotides in length. Lineage: Bacteria; Bacillati; Cyanobacteriota; Cyanophyceae; Spirulinales; Lusitaniellaceae. The record is from RNAcentral.